Molecule: long non-coding RNA, 388 nt
Organism: Girardinichthys multiradiatus
Lineage: Eukaryota; Metazoa; Chordata; Actinopteri; Cyprinodontiformes; Goodeidae
Exons: 2
Source: RefSeq, a predicted model, not a curated record
UGCUCACUAGGGGGCAGUGUUUAGCUGCAGUGCAUCGAGCUCUCAGUGCGCUAAUUGAUGUCAGGUGCUUCUGCUGUCACUGUGUCGCUGAAAGUAAACACAUGCAAAGCAGAAAAAAGGAAUAACAUACAUUCAUCUGCUUUAGAGUAUUCUCUCAGGGCUUUCCUCCCAGGCCAGAACAAUGGUGGACCCAGGAGUCCAGCUUCCCCACAGGCCCUGAACAAGAACAAGCCAGGAGCCAGGAACUGACGGAGCUGCUCAGCUUGCUGAAAUGUGGAGGAGGCAGAUAAGGUGGCAGCGGCACAGAGAGGCCCUCUCCCCUGGGCCCAGGGGGAAAUUUGCAGUUAUUAAGAGAAGAUGAGAACGAUUAAAUGGCUUUUGUACUCGU